This 30-nucleotide non-coding RNA is filed under the name Mus musculus (house mouse). Lineage: Eukaryota; Metazoa; Chordata; Mammalia; Rodentia; Muridae. The record is from RNAcentral.
UAAUUGGCUUUGUGUGUGUAGCACAAAUUU